This 440-nucleotide ribosomal RNA is filed under the name uncultured bacterium. RNAcentral describes it as "partial 16S ribosomal RNA". It matches the Rfam family "Bacterial small subunit ribosomal RNA", at positions 338 to 795 of the family's 1533-position model. The record is from RNAcentral.
CCUACGGGAGGCAGCAGUGGGGAAUAUUGCACAAUGGGGGAAACCCUGAUGCAGCGACGCCGCGUGAGGGAAGAAGGAUUUAGGUACGUAAAGCUCUAUCAGCAGGGAAGAAAAUGACGGUACCUGACUAAGAAGCCCAGGCUAACUACGUGCCAGCAGCCGCGGUAAUACGCAGGGGGCAAGCGUUAUCCGGAUUUACUGGGCGUAAAGGGAGCGUAGACGGCAGCGCAAGUCUGGAGUGAAAACCCUUGGUUUAACCAUGGAACUGCUUUUGAUACUGUGCAGCUAGAGUGCAGGAGAGGUAAGCGGAAUUCGUAGUGUAGCGGUGAAAUGCGUAGAUAUUAGGAAGAACACCAGUGGCGAAGGCGGCUUACUGGACUGUAACUGACGUUGAGGCUCGAAAGCGUGGGGAGCAAACAGGAUUAGAUACCCCAGUAGUC